Transfer RNA from Aspergillus versicolor CBS 583.65, 131 nucleotides. It matches the Rfam family "tRNA". From Rfam's summary of the family: Transfer RNA (tRNA) molecules are approximately 80 nucleotides in length. Their secondary structure includes four short double-helical elements and three loops (D, anti-codon, and T loops). Further hydrogen bonds mediate the characteristic L-shaped molecular structure. tRNAs have two regions of fundamental functional importance: the anti-codon, which is responsible for specific mRNA codon recognition, and the 3' end, to which the tRNAs corresponding amino acid is attached (by aminoacyl-tRNA synthetases). tRNAs cope with the degeneracy of the genetic code in two manners: having more than one tRNA (with a specific anti-codon) for a particular amino acid; and 'wobble' base-pairing, i.e. permitting non-standard base-pairing at the 3rd anti-codon position. The record is from Rfam. Lineage: Eukaryota; Fungi; Ascomycota; Eurotiomycetes; Eurotiales; Aspergillaceae.
GGCAAGGUGGCCGAGUGGUUAAGGCGUACGACUCAAGCGUUAGCUUAACUCAAAAUGAGUUCCUCUCUUCACGUUCAUCUUGAAGAUUUCGUAUGGAGCAAUCCUCCUGGGUUCGAAUCCCAGUCUUGUCA